ACGCUGAAGGAAGGAGCUUGCUCUUUCCGGAUGAGUUGCGAACGGGUGAGUAACGCGUAGGUAACCUGCCUGGUAGCGGGGGAUAACUAUUGGAAACGAUAGCUAAUACCGCAUAACAGUAGAUGUUGCAUGACAUUUACUUGAAAGGUGCAAAUGCACCACUACCAGAUGGACCUGCGUUGUAUUAGCUAGUUGGUGAGGUAACGGCUCACCAAGGCGACGAUACAUAGCCGACCUGAGAGGGUGAUCGGCCACACUGGGACUGAGACACGGCCCAGACUCCUACGGGAGGCAGCAGUAGGGAAUCUUCGGCAAUGGACGGAAGUCUGACCGAGCAACGCCGCGUGAGUGAAGAAGGUUUUCGGAUCGUAAAGCUCUGUUGUAAGAGAAGAACGAGUGUGAGAGUGGAAAGUUCACACUGUGACGGUAUCUUACCAGAAAGGGACGGCUAACUACGUGCCAGCAGCCGCGGUAAUACGUAGGUCCCGAGCGUUAUCCGGAUUUAUUGGGCGUAAAGCGAGCGCAGGCGGUUAGAUAAGUCUGAAGUUAAAGGCUGUGGCUUAACCAUAGUACGCUUUGGAAACUGUUUAACUUGAGUGCAGAAGGGGAGAGUGGAAUUCCAUGUGUAGCGGUGAAAUGCGUAGAUAUAUGGAGGAA
Molecule: ribosomal RNA, 657 nt
Filed under: uncultured Bacilli bacterium
Lineage: Bacteria; Bacillati; Bacillota; Bacilli
Description: bacterial SSU rRNA
Rfam family: Bacterial small subunit ribosomal RNA
Source: RNAcentral